This 466-nucleotide ribosomal RNA is filed under the name uncultured bacterium. Its description in RNAcentral is "partial 16S ribosomal RNA". It matches the Rfam family "Bacterial small subunit ribosomal RNA", at positions 28 to 507 of the family's 1533-position model. The record is from RNAcentral.
GAUGAACGCUGGCGGCGUGCUUAACACAUGCAAGUCGAACGGAAAGGCUCCUGCUUGCAGGGGUACUCGAGUGGCGAACGGGUGAGUAACACGUGGGUGAUCUGCCCUGCACUUCGGGAUAAGCCUGGGAAACUGGGUCUAAUACCGGAUAGGACCAUCGUUUAGUGUCGGUGGUGGAAAGUUUUUUCGGUGUGGGAUGAGCUCGCGGCCUAUCAGCUUGUUGGUGGGGUAAUGGCCUACCAAGGCGUCGACGGGUAGCCGGCCUGAGAGGGCGUACGGCCACAUUGGGACUGAGAUACGGCCCAGACUCCUACGGGAGGCAGCAGUGGGGAAUAUUGCACAAUGGGCGCAAGCCUGAUGCAGCGACGCCGCGUGGGGGAUGACGGCCUUCGGGUUGUAAACUCCUUUCGCCAGGGACGAAGCGAAAGUGACGGUACCUGGAUAAGAAGCACCGGCUAACUACGUG